CCUACGGGAGGCAGCAGUGAGGAAUAUUGGUCAAUGGCCGGAAGGCUGAACCAGCCAAGCCGCGUGAAGGACGAAUGUGCCAAGCAUUGUAAACUUCUUUUGUCAAGGGACAAAAUCAGGCUCGAGAGCCUGACCGAGGGUACUUUAAGAAAAAGCAUCGGCUAACUCCGUGCCAGCAGCCGCGGUAAUACGGAGGAUGCGAGCGUUAUCCGGAUUUAUUGGGUUUAAAGGGGGGGUAGGUGGGCCGUUAAGUCAGGUGUUAAAGGCCGGGGCUCAACCCUCGCAGAGCGGUUGAUACUGGCAGUCUUGAGUUGUCGAGAGGUAUGCGGAAUGCGCGGUGUAGCGGUGAAAUGCUUAGAUAUUGCGAAGAACCCCGAUUGCGAAGGCAGCAUACCG
Molecule: ribosomal RNA, 396 nt
Filed under: uncultured bacterium
Lineage: Bacteria
Description: partial 16S ribosomal RNA
Rfam family: Bacterial small subunit ribosomal RNA
Source: RNAcentral